CCUACGGGAGGCAGCAGUGGGGAAUAUUGGGCAAUGGAGGAAACUCUGACCCAGCGACGCCGCGUGCGGGAUGAAGGCCUUCGGGUUGUAAACCGCUUUCAGUAGGGAAGAAGCGAAAGUGACGGUACCUACAAAAGAAGCACCGGCUAACUAUGUGCCAGCAGCCGCGGUAAUACAUAGGGUGCAAGCGUUGUCCGGAAUUAUUGGGCGCAAAGAGCUCGUAGGUCGUUUGUUACGUCGGAUGUGAAAACCUGAGGCUCAACCUCAGGCCUGCAUUCGAUACGGGCAAACUAGAGUUUGGUAGGGGAGACUGGAAUUCCUGGUGUAGCGGUGGAAUGCGCAGAUAUCAGGAGGAACACCAAUGGCGAAGGCAGGUCUCUGGGCCAAUACUGACACUGAGGAGCGAAAGUCUGGGGAGCGAACAGGAUUAGAUACCCUGGUAGUCCAGACCGUAAACGGUGGGCACUAGUUGUGGGAACCUUCCACGGUUUCUGCGACGCAGCUAACGCAUUAAGUGCCCCGCCUGGGGAGUACGAUCGCAAGAUUAAAACUCAAAUGAAUUGACGG
This 567-nucleotide ribosomal RNA is filed under the name uncultured bacterium. RNAcentral describes it as "bacterial SSU rRNA". It matches the Rfam family "Bacterial small subunit ribosomal RNA", at positions 338 to 916 of the family's 1533-position model. The record is from RNAcentral.